Molecule: transfer RNA, 76 nt
Filed under: Pseudomonas putida
Lineage: Bacteria; Pseudomonadati; Pseudomonadota; Gammaproteobacteria; Pseudomonadales; Pseudomonadaceae
Also listed under: 1 other name
Description: tRNA-Thr
Rfam family: tRNA
About the family: Transfer RNA (tRNA) molecules are approximately 80 nucleotides in length. Their secondary structure includes four short double-helical elements and three loops (D, anti-codon, and T loops).
Source: RNAcentral
GCCGUCAUAGCUCAGUUGGUAGAGCGUCCGCCUUGUAAGCGGAGGGCCCAAGGUUCGAGUCCUUGUGUCGGCACCA